CCGUACACAAAAAUGCACAUGCUGUGAGCUCGAUGAGUAGGGCGGGACACGUGGUAUCCUGUCUGAAUAUGGGGGGACCAUCCUCCAAGGCUAAAUACUCCUGACUGACCGAUAGUGAACCAGUACCGUGAGGGAAAGGCGAAAAGAACCCCGGCGAGGGGAGUGAAAAAGAACCUGAAACCGUGUACGUACAAGCAGUGGGAGCACGCUUAGGCGUGUGACUGCGUACCUUUUGUAUAAUGGGUCAGCGACUUAUAUUCUGUAGCAAGGUUAACCGAAUAGGGGAGCCGAAGGGAAACCGAGUCUUAACUGGGCGUUAAGUUGCAGGGUAUAGACCCGAAACCCGGUGAUCUAGCCAUGGGCAGGUUGAAGGUUGGGUAACACUAACUGGAGGACCGAACCGACUAAUGUUGAAAAAUUAGCGGAUGACUUGUGGCUGGGGGUGAAAGGCCAAUCAAACCGGGAGAUAGCUGGUUCUCCCCGAAAGCU
RNAcentral lists this ribosomal RNA (489 nucleotides) under Escherichia coli. RNAcentral describes it as "partial 23S ribosomal RNA". It matches the Rfam family "Bacterial large subunit ribosomal RNA", at positions 373 to 867 of the family's 2925-position model. Lineage: Bacteria; Pseudomonadati; Pseudomonadota; Gammaproteobacteria; Enterobacterales; Enterobacteriaceae. The record is from RNAcentral.